GCGGCAACAGCUCAAAUUUGAAAUCUGGCCUCGGCCCGAGUUGUAAUUUGUAGAGGAUGCUUUUGGUGCGGUGCCUUCUGAGUUCCCUGGAACGGGACGCCAGAGAGGGUGAGAGCCCCGUAUAGUUGGACACCAAGCCUUUGUAAAGCUCCUUCGACGAGUCGAGUAGUUUGGGAAUGCUGCUCUAAAUGGGAGGUAUAUCUCUUCUAAAGCUAAAUAUAGGCCAGAGACCGAUAGCGCACAAGUAGAGUGAUCGAAAGAUGAAAAGCACUUUGAAAAGAGGGUUAAACAGUACGUGAAAUUGUUGAAAGGGAAGGGCUUGUGACCAGACUUGUGCCGGGCUGAUCAUCCGCGGUUCUCCGCGGUGCACUCUGCCCGGCUCAGGCCAGCGUCGGUUCGGGGAGGGGGACAAAAGCUUGGGGAACGUGGCUCCUCCGGGAGUGUUAUAGCCCCUCGCUCAAUACCCCUGCCGGGACCGAGGUUCGCGCCCUAGGCAAGGACGCUGGCAUAAUGGUCAUCAGCCACCCGUCUUGAAACACGGACCAAGGAGUCGAGGUUUUGCGCGAGUGUUUGGGUGUCAAACCCGCACGCGUAAUGAAAGUGAACGUAGGUGAGAGCUUCGGCGCAUCAUCGACCGAUCCUGAUGUAUUCGGAUGGAUUUGAGUAAGAGCGUAAAGCCUCGGACCCGAAAGAUGGUGAACUAUGCCUGAAUAGGGUGAAGCCAGAGGAAACUCUGGUGGAGGCUCGCAGCGGUUCUGACGUGCAAAUCG
This 770-nucleotide ribosomal RNA is filed under the name Coniochaeta fibrosae. RNAcentral describes it as "partial large subunit ribosomal RNA". It matches the Rfam family "Eukaryotic large subunit ribosomal RNA", at positions 98 to 900 of the family's 3401-position model. Lineage: Eukaryota; Fungi; Ascomycota; Sordariomycetes; Coniochaetales; Coniochaetaceae. The record is from RNAcentral.